This 443-nucleotide ribosomal RNA is filed under the name uncultured bacterium. RNAcentral describes it as "partial 16S ribosomal RNA". It matches the Rfam family "Bacterial small subunit ribosomal RNA", at positions 338 to 795 of the family's 1533-position model. The record is from RNAcentral.
CCUACGGGGGGCUGCAGUGAGGAAUAUUGGUCAAUGGCCGUAAGGCUGAACCAGCCAAGUCGCGUGAAGGAAGAAGGCCCUCGGGUUGUAAACCUCUUUUAUCAGGGACGAAGCAAGUGACGGUACCUGCUGAAUAAGCCACGGCUAACUACGUGCCAGCAGCCGCGGUAAUACGUAGGUGGCAAGCGUUAUCCGGAUUUACUGGGUGUAAAGGGCGUGUAGGCGGGAAAGCAAGUCAGAUGUGAAAACCAUGGGCUCAACAUGUGGCCUGCAUUUGAAACUGUUUUUCUUGAGUACUGGAGAGGCAGACGGAAUUCCUAGUGUAGCGGUGAAAUGCGUAGAUAUUAGGAGGAACACCAGUGGCGAAGGCGGUCUGCUGGACAGCAACUGACGCUGAGGUGCGAAAGCGUGGGGAGCAAACAGGAUUAGAUACCCGAGUAGUC